Molecule: ribosomal RNA, 308 nt
Filed under: uncultured Planctomycetota bacterium
Lineage: Bacteria; Pseudomonadati; Planctomycetota
Description: bacterial SSU rRNA
Rfam family: Bacterial small subunit ribosomal RNA
Source: RNAcentral
AAUGAACGUUGGCGGCGUGGAUUAGGCAUGCAAGUCGAGCGCGAACCGUAGCAAUACGGGGAGAGCGGCGAAAGGGAGAGGAAUACGUGGUUACCUACCCUCAGGUUCAGGAUAGCUAUGGGGAAACUAUAGGUAAUACUGAAUAAUAUCUCCGGAUCAAAAGGUGAGAUUCCACCUGGGGAGGGACCGCGUCCUAUUAGCUUGUUGGUGAGGUAACGGCUCACCAAGGCGAAGAUGGGGUAUGGGAUGUGAGAGCAUGAUCCCACUCACUGGGACUGAGACACUGCCCAGACACCUACGGGUGGCAG